CCAAAGGCUCUUUUAAGAGCCACCACAACUUUCACUAAAGACUUUU
Takifugu rubripes (torafugu) is the source of this 46-nucleotide non-coding RNA. The record is from Rfam. Lineage: Eukaryota; Metazoa; Chordata; Actinopteri; Tetraodontiformes; Tetraodontidae.